RNAcentral lists this ribosomal RNA (196 nucleotides) under Pterois volitans (red lionfish). RNAcentral's name for it is "partial large subunit ribosomal RNA". Lineage: Eukaryota; Metazoa; Chordata; Actinopteri; Perciformes; Scorpaenidae. The record is from RNAcentral.
AUGAAGACCUGUAUGAAUGGCAUAACGAGGGCUUAACUGUCUCCUCUUUCUGGUCAAUGAAAUUGAUCUCCCCGUGCAGAAGCGGGGAUAAAUCCAUAAGACGAGAAGACCCUAUGGAGCUUUAGACACCAAGGAAGAUCCUGUCAAAACCCACCAAAAAUGGAAAGAACUAAUGGAUACCUCCUUCCCUAAUGUC